This is a long non-coding RNA of Anas platyrhynchos (mallard), 2405 nucleotides long. RefSeq lists it as uncharacterized. NCBI's taxonomy places the organism in Eukaryota, Metazoa, Chordata, Aves, Anseriformes, Anatidae. The record is from RefSeq and is a predicted model, not a curated record.
CCCCCGCCUCAGGAAGCGGCGGGCGCAUCACAUGGCCGCGCGGCGCUGCCAUAAACACGCCAAGAUGGCGGCCCUCACGCCGCCCGCCCGCCCGUGCUGCGUCACGGCGCCCCCCGGCCCCGCCGCCAGCCCUCAGGGAGGGCUCUCCAGACGGUGACGAGGAGCCAAGUUCUGCGUUUUCGCACACCUGUUUGCUUUCCGCAUCGUGGCGCGGCUGGAGCGAGGCGAAAAUCGGCGUGAGAGGAGAGGCAGCAGGUUUGGGGGAUCCCCCGGGGGAAAUGGCACUGGCCGCGAGCGGGUGCCCAGCAGAAGAGGGAGUUGGGUGGGACCGCGCACCUCUGUGGUCACGGAGCUGCUUGAAACAGCCCACGAGUAGCUGCUGGAUCUGCUUUAAACAGCCCACGAGUAGCUGCUGGAGCACGGAUAAAAUCUUCAGAUGAAGACACACCUGAACUACCAAGCGGCACCUCUUCUCUUCCCACCUCAGCCUCCAAAAUGUGGGAUUCCCCAUGCCACUCCUCUUCCAUUCUGUUGAAAUCAGUAGAUUUUUUUUUCUACUGGAAUAAUGUGGCGUGAAAAGGCUUCAGAGUGGCAGUAAAUAAUUCAUUUUUGGGGCACUUCCCUUCCUUUCCAAAAGUCACAGCUGUACGUACAGAUUUUCUUAAGCAUUUUUUACAAAGUUUUUUGGUGUUUUGUUUUUUUUUCUUGCAGCAGCAGAUGAUGUAACUAAUUACAAUCGGUGGCAAACCUGCAAGUUUUAGGGUAUACGUUUAGGUCAUCUGUGUCAUCAUCUGACGUCAGUAUUGCAUAAUCUGUUGACUGUCCCCUUUUUAUGUAAUGUAUGUUUGCAGUUUGUUUGAAAAUGUACAAAUAUUUUUUUCCACUGCGUGCUUCUCCUCAGAUAUUUCAUACUUGUCUCUCCAUUGCCCUCUUCUGUUAAAAACUUGUAAGGCACCAUUUUGGUAGCUGGAUCCCUCUCAGCGUUACGCCUUUCUCUUUUAAAAACAACCUCUGAACAUCUCCAGACAUGCUCUUCUCCAGGUAAGUUUUUUAGAGCAGUAAACCACAUCUGGAGUUUCUGCUCCCUCCUGUUAGAGAUACGAGAGCAGCUUGUACUGAGGAAGUCCAUCAGCAUCGUAAAUUAACUUUUUAUAAAAACAUGGUAACUUUGGGUUAAAAAGAAAAGUGUUAUUUUUUAAACUUAUUUCAGAAGUUAACAUGAUUCCCUUAACCAGAGGUGUACGCGUGUAGAAGUAGUUCCAUGAUCUUUUCAGCAAUACCUUUUUUAAAAAAAGUGGGGUACAAACUACUGGUUGAUACAAGUUUGACUUGCGGUAGAAGUUUUUAUUUCACAAUUCUGUGUUUGGAUCCUGUGACCUAAAAGUUCCAGUGGCACACUUGAGCCUGCAGAGCCUCGAGGCACCCCUUCGGCCUCUUCCAGCUGCUGUCCCUCGAGAGCACAGCUGGCUGCUCGGCGCCCGGCGCUGCUCCCGUCGGAGCCCUCGGUAGGCACAGGAGCGAUCGCAGCUCUCGCAGCGCAUGUGACAAGCCCUGAUGAAGCCCAGCUGAACGUGUUCACGGCGCUGUAAAAUUCCACGGCUGCCUGGGCGAGCGCCCGGCGCGCUGGGUGCAGUAUGCAGCACGGUCGCGGUGUGGUGCUGCCCUCUACUCGUGCCGGUCGUGAUCCCAGCCUUCGGCUGUCGCACGCGGUGCAGCUCCGCCGACUUACCUGGCUCGCAGCCACGGCUGCCUGCUGGCUGUCUGGUUCAUGACACUCGGUUCUUGAGUAGCAUAAACCAAGCGCUGCUCUGCAGCUCCAGCGAGUUUAAGGGGGAGAAAGGGUACCCUCAUUUUCUCCAGCAUUGAGCGGUAAGUUAACCCUUCUCCGUUAAAUCCAGCAUUAGUGAAUUGGAUUUUGAAGGCUGUUUUGGUCACUGUGGUCAUUAAGGUAGCACUAAUUAUCUGGAUAAUUUUCUGAGCUGGAUCCCCACAUGCAAAGCCACUUGUGUUAAAUACUCUGAGCCUCUCACCUGGCAGCUGGGCACCCGCAGAGGGCAGUUUGGGGCUCGGAGGCGUGCAAAGGAUGAGAAGACAGAGGAAGCACCUGGCAGUGCCGUGGAGGGGCCGCGAUGACUGACAGGCUGCCCUGGCUCAGUUAUCACAGUGCUGAUGCUGUCUCUUGUAAAGGUACAGUACUGUGAUAACUGAAGGAUGGCAGCCAUCUGAGCUUCACGGGGCCCGUGCCCGCCGCGCCCCAUCCCUUUGAUUCCAGGAGCUGACGGACGGACAGAUGUACACACAACAUCCUACUCAAGUGUCCCCGUUCUAAACAAACCUCUUUGUGUAAAAGUCAUGGUUUAAGGAAACUUGAGAUAGACUUGAAUAAAAAUUGUGCUUUACUGGGA